RNAcentral lists this ribosomal RNA (386 nucleotides) under uncultured bacterium. RNAcentral describes it as "bacterial SSU rRNA". It matches the Rfam family "Bacterial small subunit ribosomal RNA", at positions 335 to 713 of the family's 1533-position model. The record is from RNAcentral.
ACUCCUACGGGAGGCAGCAGUGGGGAAUAUUGCACAAUGGGCGCAAGCCUGAUGCAGCCAUGCCGCGUGUAUGAAGAAGGCCUUCGGGUUGUAAAGUACUUUCAGCAGUGAGGAAGGUGGAUAUGUUAAUAGCAUAUUCUAUUUGUACGUUAGCUGCAGAAGAAGCACCGGCUAACUCCGUGCCAGCAGCCGCGGUAAUACGGAGGGUGCGAGCGUUAAUCGGAAUUACUGGGCGUAAAGCGCAUGCAGGUGGUUUGUUAAGUCAGAUGUGAAAGCCCGGGGCUCAACCUCGGAAUUGCAUUUGAAACUGGCAAACUAGAGUACUGUAGAGGGGUAGAAUUUCAGGUGUAGCGGUGAAAUGCGUAGAGAUCUGAAGGAAUACCGGU